This 2177-nucleotide long non-coding RNA is filed under the name Canis lupus familiaris (dog). Its description in RNAcentral is "lncRNA (ENSCAFG00000055901.1)". The record is from RNAcentral. Lineage: Eukaryota; Metazoa; Chordata; Mammalia; Carnivora; Canidae.
CCAUGCUUAAACUAGAAUAUUUUUUUCCAAUUGCUGAAAAAGCUUUAUAGGUAUCUAUCUACACUCUUGCUAUGAUGUAAACUUUGAAAAACAAAAAUAUGAACUCUGACCAGAAUGGAGACACAUGGCACUCCACUGAUCAUAGCAAUUAUUAAAUAUUUGUUAAAUAUUUGUUAUGUUCUGCCCUAAUGGUACUACACCCUCCUCUUGUCAUUAUCCAUAUUAGCCAAAGAAGUAUUUUACAACCAUUCUGCCCAUUUGAUUCAUCCAAAGGGGAGGAUGUGCUGAUUUGGAGUGCUCUUAAAAGGAUGGUAAUUAAUGGAAUUGGAACGAUUUAUGCUAACCCAGAUUACAUACAGACCAGAGGUUUACCUCCCAGGAUGGUGCUUUUGUAGUUUCCUAGUGUUACGCAUUUCUUCUCACCAGACAGUGCAACAGGUUAUCAUGUGCAUUCCAUUUUUACUUUAAAUGUUGGUCUUCAAUUCUUCCCUAUUUUAUAUGCAAGAGCUACACGAUUUUGGUACUUUUUUUUUCCAUACUGGGACUGAUCAUGAGGGAGGAAAUCUAUGGAUUUGAAUGGCAACCUUUCAGUUGCUGUUUUCAACAAACUGAGGGUUGCUGGAGGGGAUGGGGGAUGGGCAAAAUGAGUGAAGAGGAGUGGGAAAUACAGACUUCCAGUCACAAAAUUAAUAAGUCACAGGGAUGAAAGGUACAGUAUAGCAAAUAUAGUCAGUGGUAUUGUUAAUAGCAUUGUAUGGUGACAGAUAGUAGCCACACUUGUGUAAGGAUAGCAUAACAUAUAAACUUGAAUUACUAUGUUACAAACUGUGCUUAAACUAAUGUGAUGUUGUCACCUACACUUUAAAAAAGGUUAUUAUCAUCAUUUUUUUUUUACCUAGAAGAGGUUUCUCUUAUGUAUCUUUGUUGUUCAUAUAACCUAUUUUAGGCAAAUAGAUAAAGUGGACAACUCCGUCCAAUAACCCUGAAAUUAAAAACCUGUAGCAGUUCUCUGAGCAGCAACUGCUUCAUCCCUGGGGGUAUCAAGCAUUGCAAAUAGUUACAAUGAAGAAAAAGGUGCAUUAGUUUCUAUUCCAUUUUUUUUUAAAUGUUGAUACAAACAUGACUCAGUCUUUCAUAAACUGAAAAUAAACACAAAAAUCUCCCAGUGCUUCAAGACCAAAAAUCAAAGUUUAAAGUUUCUCAAGACUGUUUUACCAGGUUUUUAUCCCCUGACAACCUGAUAAUACUUGAAAAUAUUUGGUUUCACUCUUUUCUUCCUUCUUCCUUCCUUCCUUCCUUCCUCCACUCCUCCCUUUCUCUCUCACUCCCUUUCUUCUUGCCUCCCUCGCUCCCUUAAUUUUUAAACCCUAGAGUGGACUAGGUGUAUUUGUUUAUUCUGCCUGUGUUCCAUGUUUUCAAAAACUAUUAUAGAUGCAAUGAUACCACAUUCUGGAAAGUCUGGGAAACUGGAGAAAAUGGUGGGGAAGGGAGCAUCUGUGAUUCCACUGUUGCUUCCAAUAGCUACUAGCACUUUGCUCUAUUUAUUCUUAAAUCUUCUAACAAAAAUACUUGUUUUAUUUUUUACUUUAUUUGUAUAAUAUGUGCAUGUAUAUUCCUUUUUUAAAAAUAACAUUUCUAUUUUUUACAUUUACCAAUAUAAAAUUAGUGCUUUAAAUAAGGUACUGUUUUUACUCAUUCCUUCUAGAAAUAGUUCUGAUGGUUAGGGAAGGAAAUAGAAGCACUGCCCCUUUAAAAAUGGUAUUAAGCCAGACAAGCUUGGUCAAGUCUAGUGAUGCCAAACCAUUAGAUGAGCCUUCCACGGGGUCAGUGAAAAGACCUUUCUGCACAUGGGAAAGUCUUAUGUAACUGGAAGAGGAAGGGAGGAAGAAUAGCUAUUCUCCAUCCACCUCUAAUAAAACACAAGAUUGGUCAUAAAUGAUCAUUUAUUCAGACUCCCACUGGUAGUAUAAAUCCCAUGACUUUAUAAUGCAUAUGUGGGGUACAACUCUCAAUUUUAAGAAUCCUUAAACUUUUCAAUGGAUUUAGCAUAGAGUCCAACACGGAAUAAUUCACUUCCCUGACCCAAAAUACCUAUUAUAUAACUAAAGUUCUCUGGGUUGCAAAUAAUAGAACUCACUUCUGCUUAGCUUAAGAAAAUUAAAAAAAAAAAAAAAAAA